This 1380-nucleotide ribosomal RNA is filed under the name Triticum aestivum (bread wheat). Its description in RNAcentral is "partial small subunit ribosomal RNA". The record is from RNAcentral. Lineage: Eukaryota; Viridiplantae; Streptophyta; Magnoliopsida; Poales; Poaceae.
AUGAGCACAGGAUUCAGCGCAGAGAUCUUUGUGCAGAAGCUUGCGAAGCUUAAUAUUGCACAACAGAGUAUAGAGACUUUAUCACACUGGUGCAUCUUCCAUCAUCGUUGUUGCCAGGAAGUUGUUGCCAUAUGGAAUAAAGAUUUUCACUCAGCUCCUCAAGAGAGAAAGAUAUCUUUGCUGUACCUUGCAAAUGAUAUUAUGCAGAAUAGUAAGAAGGAUGGCAUGAGAUAUAUACAUGAGUUCUUGAAGGUCAUCGCUGCUGCCUUAGAUGACCUGUUCACCAAUGGUGAUGAUUUUGGACGAAAUGUUGUAAAAAGACUGGUUGACAUAUGGGAAGAUCGCAAGUUGUUUGGCACCCAAGGACAACUCCUAAAGGAAGAAUACACCCGCAAAUUUAAGGAGCUAAAGUCAAAAAAACCAGGUGGAGAGCUGGUGGAGAAGGUUAUAUCGAGCUACAAGCAUAUGCUGCGGGCACCUGUAGAUGAGGCCAAGUUGAUGAGAGAAUGCAACAGUGCUCUAAGCUUUGUUGACAACCUGAACAAAGAGUACGGAAAUUCGUACUUAGGGAGCAGCAAUGGAUAUAGCUUUGUGGAGGAGCUGAAGGAACAACAUAGUAUUCUGAGAAACACCAUUGAACGAUUCAAAAUGUCUGAAUCACUCAGGGCCACUCUGGUAUCUGAUUUGAAGGAAGCACUCCAUGAGCAGAGUAAUAGAAAUGCUUUACAACGUAAACACAUCAAUGCAGCUCAGGUCAGAUAUAGGAAAGCUGAUGACCUCUGCCAGAAGCUCGGAAUAGAUGUACCAAGGCACGAGCCAUCUAAUGGGGUUUCAGCUAAUGCUAAUUCUGUCGAGAAGGGACGGUCGACUGCAGUGAUGUAUUCACGGGAAGGAGAUGGAGGUGAGCCUGAGACCCUCAACGGCGGUUUUUCUUCACGAGCCACCAGGGACAACUUUGAGCAGAAAAUAGAAGGGCACCCUCCUGUUACUAAGAGGCAGAAGAUAGAGAAUGGUAUAUCUGUUCCUCAGCCUGAAGCACCCCCACCGCCACCCCCACUCCCGUAUCCUGAUACAUUUGAACAUCCACCACCACCGCCUCAGUAUCCUCCAUCACCAGAGUCUAGCCCACCACCACUUCCACCUUCAAUGCCGCCCCCAAUCCCACCACCACCACCACCUUCUACAGAUGCAUUUAUGCCAGUUCCUGCUCUUCCAAUGGGAGGAAUGCCAUAUUUCCCACCGUUUCCUCCACCUGUAAACUAUCCCAUGAUCAACAUGCCACCGCCUUUCCCUGGUGCCCCAAACCCUCCUCACCCAGGUUUCCUUGGAUUUGGGGGUCCCUUCUAUGGCCCGCCUUUCCCCUCGGCCCCCCACCAAUGA